UGGAAUCUUCUAGAAGGGGCUGGUUAUCUAGGCCUACUGAGGAAAACCAAGGAGCUGAUACAGUUUGUCAAGUGGAUGGUCUCAGACCUGGGAAUAUUUAGAGACCCCAUGGAGGCUAAUGUUAGCUUGACAGGACGGUGAAUCCCACAAGAGACAAGACCGUGGUCAAGCCCGGGAGGUGUUAACUGAACGAGGUUAAUGGAGGUGGGACGGUCCACCUUAACUGUGGUGGUGCCGUUUUGUUCCUGGGCUACAGAAAAAGGAGAAGGCCAGCUGUCAGCAUUCAUAACUCUCUGCUUCUGGGCUCUGCAUGCACUGUGACCAGAUGCCUCAAGCCCCUGCAGCUCUAUCUUCCCUUGACUAUGAGCCAGAACAAACCUCCACUCACUUAAGCGUCUUCGUGUUGGGUCCCAGCAGCAAGAGAGUUGAUGAACCUACCCACCAGAUGUUACACAUACAGACAAGGAAAGUAACCAAUGGCGGGCGUGUCCCUACAGCAAUGACUACAAACGGCUUGCUCAGUAAUCAAUAGAGGCGUGCCCUUACCAAAGCAAAACAAACAAAGAAGAAAACAAACACAAACUACAGGGAGCUUGCUCAGUAACCAAUAGAGGCGAGCCUCUACAAAAAAGACUCCAGAGAACUCCCUCAUCCCUUUUGCUGCUGCUGUGUGUGUGUGGAGGGUGGGGGUGGUGUGAACAAUUUUUCUUAGUAAAAAUGCUAUGGGCAUUUCCUAGUAUGUAUUACAAAAGCACAUUUAUACUUCGCUGUGUAGGAAGGAAUCUACCUGUAGCUUAGCAGCCACACCCUGCUAAUAUGUUGUUCCUGAGUUAACUUUCAAUCUAAGUACUAAACACCAGGCCCAAGCGGAAUAAAAGUCUUAGUGGCCUUGA
Myodes glareolus (Bank vole) is the source of this 893-nucleotide long non-coding RNA. RefSeq lists it as uncharacterized. NCBI's taxonomy places the organism in Eukaryota, Metazoa, Chordata, Mammalia, Rodentia, Cricetidae. The record is from RefSeq and is a predicted model, not a curated record.